GUAGGGAAUCUUCCGCAAUGGACGCAAGUCUGACGGAGCAACGCCGCGUGAGUGACGAAGGUUUUCGGAUCGUAAAACUCUGUUGUGAGGGAAGAACACGUACCAACUAACUAUUGGUACCUUGACGGUACCUCACCAGAAAGCCACGGCUAACUACGUGCCAGCAGCCGCGGUAAUACGUAGGUGGCAAGCGUUGUCCGGAAUUAUUGGGCGUAAAGCGCGCGCAGGCGGUUCCUUAAGUCUGAUGUGAAAGCCCACGGCUCAACCGUGGAGGGUCAUUGGAAACUGGGGAACUUGAGUGCAGAAGAGGAAAGUGGAAUUCCACGUGUAGCGGUGAAAUGCGUAGAGAUGUGGAGGAACACCAGUGGCGAAGGCGACUUUCUGGUCUGUAACUGACGCUGAGGCGCGAAAGCGUGGGGAGCAAACAGGAUUAGAAACCCCGGUAGUCC
Molecule: ribosomal RNA, 449 nt
Filed under: uncultured bacterium
Lineage: Bacteria
Description: partial 16S ribosomal RNA
Rfam family: Bacterial small subunit ribosomal RNA
Source: RNAcentral